GGGGAUCUGCCCGAUAGAGGGGGAUAACCACUGGAAACGGUGGCUAAUACCGCAUAACGUCGCAAGACCAAAGAGGGGGACCUUCGGGCCUCUCACUAUCGGAUGAACCCAGAUGGGAUUAGCUAGUAGGCGGGGUAACGGCCCACCUAGGCGACGAUCCCUAGCUGGUCUGAGAGGAUGACCAGCCACACUGGAACUGAGACACGGUCCAGACUCCUACGGGAGGCAGCAGUGGGGAAUAUUGCACAAUGGGCGCAAGCCUGAUGCAGCCAUGCCGCGUGUAUGAAGAAGGCCUUCGGGUUGUAAAGUACUUUCAGCGGGGAGGAAGGCGAUGUGGUUAAUAACCGCGUCGAUUGACGUUACCCGCAGAAGAAGCACCGGCUAACUCCGUGCCAGCAGCCGCGGUAAUACGGAGGGUGCAAGCGUUAAUCGGAAUUACUGGGCGUAAAGCGCACGCAGGCGGUCUGUUAAGUCAGAUGUGAAAUCCCCGGGCUUAACCUGGGAACUGCAUUUGAAACUGGCAGGCUUGAGUCUCGUAGAGGGGGGGUAGAAUUCCAGGU
RNAcentral lists this ribosomal RNA (560 nucleotides) under uncultured bacterium. Its description in RNAcentral is "bacterial SSU rRNA". It matches the Rfam family "Bacterial small subunit ribosomal RNA", at positions 120 to 674 of the family's 1533-position model. The record is from RNAcentral.